Podarcis lilfordi (Lilford's wall lizard) is the source of this 90-nucleotide non-coding RNA. Lineage: Eukaryota; Metazoa; Chordata; Lepidosauria; Squamata; Lacertidae. The record is from the annotation of a GenBank genome assembly.
GCCUGUCUAGCUUAGGAAGGGCUGUUGUAGAGCACCUGCCUCGCUCGCAGGUGGUCCUUGGUUCAAUCCCCGGUGUUGCCAGGUAGGGCU